This 406-nucleotide ribosomal RNA is filed under the name uncultured bacterium. RNAcentral describes it as "partial 16S ribosomal RNA". It matches the Rfam family "Bacterial small subunit ribosomal RNA", at positions 28 to 526 of the family's 1533-position model. The record is from RNAcentral.
GAUGAACGCUAGCUACAGGCUUAACACAUGCAAGUCGAGGGACCGGCGCACGGGUGAGUCACACGUAUCCAACCUGCCCUUUACUCGGGGAUAGCCUUUCGCAAGAAAGAUUAAUACCCGAUGUAAAGGAUGGGGAUGGGUUCCAUUAGGUUGUUGGUGAGGUAACGGCUCACCAAGCCUUCGAUGGAUAGGGGUUCUGAGAGGAAGGGCCCCCAGAUUGGAACUGAGACACGGUCCAAACUCCUACGGGAGGCAGGAGUGAGGAAUAUUGGUCAAGGGGCGGUAGCCUGAACCAGCCAAGUAGCGUGAAGGAUGAAGGCUUAUGGGUCGUAAACUUCUUUUAUAUAAGAAUAUGUAUUAUAUGAAUAAGGAUCGGCUAACUCCGUGCCAGCAGCCGCGGUAAUAC